Molecule: long non-coding RNA, 862 nt
Filed under: Piliocolobus tephrosceles (Ugandan red Colobus)
Lineage: Eukaryota; Metazoa; Chordata; Mammalia; Primates; Cercopithecidae
Description: lncRNA (ENSPTEG00000013569.1)
Source: RNAcentral
AAUCUUUUGUAGAAAAAAAAUAUACGAUAUCAUUCAUUCAUUAAAUUAUAAAAGCAAAAACAUACAAGAAAAAAAAAAAGAAACACAAAAAAUAAUGGAAUUACCACGAGAAAUUAUAAAAUGGCUGCAAAAUUUAAAUUUGCCUUACUCUUUUACAAAUAUUAAAAUUGCCAGUAAUGGGAUAAUCAUUUCGGAAAUUAUAAACAUAUAUAUGCCUAAACGCAUUAAUAUGAACAGCUUAGAAAAUGGUUCUAGUAAAGAGAUAAAAAAAAAAAACUGGCAAAUCAUAAAAAAAACUCUAACCAGUUUUAAUAUACAAUUUGAUGAACUGUCAGUAAUUAAUUCAGACAAAGAAGCAUUAAAAAAUUUAUUCAUUGAUUUGUACGAAUAUUUAACAAAAAAAAAAUGUAGAGAUGUGUACUAUAUUGAAAGUGAAAAAGACAAAGAAUUGAGUAUUCCGUCAUUUGCAAGAUCUACUAUAGCGCAGAAAGUUCGAGAAAGUAAUGUUGAUGACAUAGUAAAUGAAGAGCAAAAGUUAAUAAGUACUUACGAAUUAGUGAAGCAAGAAGAAUAUUAUAAUGCAAUGAUAAGAGAAAAAGAAAAGUGGCAAAAUGAAAAUAAAAAUAAACAAAAAAAUAUAAACAAAGAAACAGCUGUUUCUGAUGCUUCAUUUUUCAACGAAUUAGAAAAAACUAGUAGCAUUAUAACUAUUAAAGAUAUUAAUGAAUGUGAGGAUUAUACAGACAUUCAAACGCUUGAUUCAUUCAUUAAUGAAAAAAAUAAAAUUGACGGAACACAUGUCGGAAGAGGCUUAAAUUUUUUAAAUGGAAACGAAAAAAAAAAAUUCAUUAAAACAGUAUGA